GAUGAACGCUAGCUACAGGCUUAACACAUGCAAGUCGAGGGGAAACGAUAUUGGAAGCUUGCUUCCGAUAGGCGUCGACCGGCGCACGGGUGAGUAACGCGUAUCCAACCUGCCCAUCACUUGGGGAUAACCUUGCGAAAGUAAGACUAAUACCCAAUGACGUCUCUAGAAGACAUCUGAAGGAGAUUAAAGAUUUAUCGGUGAUGGAUGGGGAUGCGUCUGAUUAGCUUGUUGGCGGGGUAACGGCCCACCAAGGCGACGAUCAGUAGGGGUUCUGAGAGGAAGGUCCCCCANAUUGGAACUGAGACACGGUCCAAACUCCUACGGGAGGCAGCAGUGAGGAAUAUUGGUCAAUGGGCGAGAGCCUGAACCAGCCAAGUAGCGUGCAGGAUGACGGCCCCAUGGGUUGUAAACUUCUUUUAUACGGGAAUAAAGUAUCCUACGUGUAGGAUUUUGUAUGUACCGUAUGAAUAGCAUCGGCUAACUCCGUGCCAGCAGCCG
RNAcentral lists this ribosomal RNA (501 nucleotides) under uncultured bacterium. Its description in RNAcentral is "bacterial SSU rRNA". It matches the Rfam family "Bacterial small subunit ribosomal RNA", at positions 28 to 517 of the family's 1533-position model. The record is from RNAcentral.